RNAcentral lists this ribosomal RNA (280 nucleotides) under uncultured prokaryote. RNAcentral's name for it is "partial 16S ribosomal RNA". It matches the Rfam family "Bacterial small subunit ribosomal RNA", at positions 524 to 803 of the family's 1533-position model. The record is from RNAcentral.
UACGUAGGGGCUAGCGUUAUCCGGAAUUACUGGGCGUAAAGGGUGCGUAGGUGGUUUCUUAAGUCAGAGGUGAAAGGCUAUGGCUCAACCGUAGUAAGCCUUUGAAACUGGGAAACUUGAGUGCAGGAGAGGAGAGUGGAAUUCCUAGUGUAGCGGUGAAAUGCGUAGAUAUUAGGAGGAACACCGGUGGCGAAGGCGGCUAUCUGGACAGUAACUGACGCUGAGGCGCGAAAGCGUGGGGAGCAAACAGGAUUAGAUACCCCCGUAGUCCCUGAGCGGG